Zea mays is the source of this 5263-nucleotide RNA transcript. RefSeq lists it as uncharacterized. Lineage: Eukaryota; Viridiplantae; Streptophyta; Magnoliopsida; Poales; Poaceae. The record is from RefSeq and is marked validated. The transcript is spliced from 7 exons.
UAAACCAAACAAAAAAAGAGAAAGCCAGAUAAAAAAAAAUAACAAGAGCGAGGAAAACGAAAAUUAAAAAGAAAGGCUCCCCCUUCCACGAACAAACACUUGCACCUCCUCGUCCCCACCUCCGUCCUCGUCGAUCCCAUCCACCCCCAGCGCUCCUCCUCGCCGGCGGGCUUGCUGGGUCUCGCGAUCGUCCUCCUCCUCGGCUGUGCCUUCUGGGGCGGCGGCGGCAGGAAUUAGGUAAGUGGAGGCAAGGGAAGGGGAGGUUUGAGGUAGAGCGGAGCCGCAGCGGCGAUGCCGUCGCACGCGGAUCUGGACCACCAGAUCUCGCAGCUGCGGGAUUGCAAGUUCCUGCCGGAGGUGGAGGUCAAGACGCUAUGCGAGAAGGCAAAGGCGAUCCUCAUGGAGGAGUGGAACGUACAGCCCGUGCGCUGCCCCGUCACUGUGUGCGGCGACAUCCACGGCCAGUUCUACGACCUCAUCGAGCUCUUCCGCAUCGGCGGCGAUGCGCCAGACACCAACUACCUCUUUAUGGGCGAUUACGUCGACCGUGGCUACUACUCUGUGGAGACUGUGUCGUUGUUAGUGGCUCUAAAAGUACGUUAUAGAGACAGAAUCACAAUAUUGAGAGGAAAUCAUGAGAGCAGACAAAUAACUCAAGUGUAUGGCUUCUAUGAUGAAUGCUUGCGGAAAUAUGGAAAUGCAAAUGUGUGGAAGUACUUUACAGACUUGUUUGAUUAUUUGCCUCUCACAGCUCUUAUAGAAAACCAGAUCUUCUGCCUACAUGGUGGUCUCUCUCCAUCACUGGAUACAUUGGAUAAUAUCCGCGCCCUUGAUCGCAUACAAGAGGUCCCACAUGAAGGACCUAUGUGUGAUCUUUUGUGGUCUGACCCAGAUGACCGAUGUGGGUGGGGAAUUUCACCAAGGGGUGCUGGAUACACAUUUGGCCAAGAUAUUGCACAACAAUUCAACCAUACAAAUGGGCUAAGUCUUAUUUCAAGGGCACAUCAACUUGUAAUGGAAGGCUUCAAUUGGUGUCAGAAGUUUCUGAGGAUUCUAAUUAUCAACAAGAAUUUCUGGUGCUAUACAUAGGGAACACUGGUCCUAAUACAGCAAUACUCCAUCCAUUUGUAAUAUAUGAUGUUUUGGAUAUUAACACAGUCCCUACAAUGCAUCUUCCACAUACUUUUAAAAUUAAAAUGAUAUUUUAAAAAUUAAGUUAUUUUUCAUGAUAAAAUCCAACGGUACAAUUUCCACACAAUAAAUCCAGUUAGUUCAGUUUUAUUUGAAUGGUGUUCUGCUUUUUCCUAAAAUGAAACUUGAUGCCCUUACAGAGGGUAAACAUUUUAUUUUCACCUAUUUUUCUCCAACUGUCUAUAAGGCUAUCUCCAGCAUCUCUCCUAUCUCUUUCCUUAUCACACAUCCUUUUUUCAAACUCAACUCUGUAAACAGUGUUAUCUAAAAAACAAUGUUUUGCACGAGCAUAUGCAUGAUCGACUGGACAUAUCCUAACUGAUUAACGUGCAGUCUGGUGCCAGACCAUUACAGACCUGGUAUUACUUUCCACAGUAGUCAGGAAGCUGCUUCCACCUGACUUUACUAGAGCUGCCUUUGUCAUGGAAAUGAUUCAUUGUGUUGGGAGCAUAGUCACAAUGUUCCCUUGUCGAUUGGAUCGAGGAAUGGGGUCGCGGGUCGACACUUGAAAAAAAUGGUACAAGGGGGUAUAUCUCUAUGAGCUAUGUUACCCUGACACGGGGAUAUGGAUACGCGAUACAUCGAUACCCCGAUACGCCAUUUCUCAAAAAACACUGACACAACAAUACAUAAAUAUAUAUUAUAAAUAAAAAUAAAUAGCAGGAUUAUUAGAGAUGUGAAAACUACCUUCGCUGCCACUGGCCUCAGUAGAUGCAGAAGCAGAAGCAUUUGAACUCGCUGGUCGCUGCCAUGGGAUCUAACAAGACCGGAGUUGUAGCAGUCAACAGAUUGAGAAGAAAGAAGUGAAUAUAAGAACACAAACCUGCAUAUUGAUUUGUGGCAAAGGUGUGCAGGCAGCCGCAAGACACACUGGCGUCGACCUGUGGAUCGAUGGGCGGCACUGCGACACGGAUCAGCAACAACAGCUACAAACCCACAAUCUAUUGGCGGCGGCUACAGACCCACCAAUCAUCGGGCGACAACUCCAAUCGGCGACUGAUGACCACAAAUCAACGGCGCCAGCGGCCACGAGCCCACGGCUCGUCGGGCGGUGGCUCCAAUCAACGAAUGACGGCCACAGACCUCGCUGCGGCGGUUCCAAUCGGCGGCUGGCAGGCUGAUGGCCACAGACCUUGCUGCGUGCCGGCGACUGGCAGGUUGACGGUCACAGACCUCGCGGCGCGCCGACAGCUGCUCCUAUCGGCGACUGACGAGUGAAGGCGGCGGCGGCCACAGACCGGCGAACUGCAGCGGAGGUGGCCACAGACUAGCGAACUGCGGCGGAGGCGGCCACAGACCAGCGAAUUGCGACGGCUGGGGACGCGCAAGAGGAGGCAGAGAGGCGGCUUUGGGCAGUGGCUGUGCGAUACAGGAGCACGAGUGUAUACUACGAACUAGGGUUGGGACGUAUCUCAGGUAUCGGAGAGGUAUCCCUGGAGUAUCCGUAUUUUUAUUUAUUUAAAUCUGCAGAAAUAUCCGAUAUGUAUCCGGAAGUAUCCGAGGGGUAUCCGUAUCCGAUAUGGUAUCCGACACCGGUACAUGAGUUUUGUGAAGUAUCUGCGCAUCAUAGUCUAUGAGACAUGAAUCGUGAAUUUGGUAUGUGAACCCGAGUCUAAUGGGCCGAGGGUCAUGUUCCAAAAUCCCAAGGACCCUAUGUGCUAUGCCCGCGUCCUAGCCUAAUACCAGCUUAACACAACAUAACACCAGCCCAAUACCAACCCAUUAUAGCAAUGAAACCCAUAGAGCUCACGAGGCAGAAGCGCUGCCACCCAUCUAAGGCCUAUGUAACCUGCAGGCGGAGCGCCAAUGUAGGAAGCCAUAGCGCCACCUCUUGCUGGCCACGGGAGGAUUCCCAUCCUCACCACCAUACACAUCGCCUUGCCAUCAUCUGCGUCGCUUUGCCCUAAUCCACGCCGCCCUACCCCAACCUGCUCGAUCCUCCUCCGUCACGAAUAGCACCGGUCGUCGUUCCCAUCUACACCAGUACAACGACUUCCUCGCGUUCAGGAUGAUGACCCAUGGUGACCCCGACCCACAAUUUGGGACGAUGACCUUGGGUCACGGAACACAACAUCGACCCCGUUUCCUGUGGCCUAUGGUUGGGAGGGUGUUGACAAGUUUUUGGGGGCAUGUGAUGCCAACUAGUAGGAGAAUCUUUUAAGGUGCCCCUAUGUAGAGGAAAGGAGGAACCUUUGAUUAGGGCUGGAAAAAAAACUCGAGCUCGACGAGCCGACUUGGGCUCGCGAUGGCUCGGUUCGACUCGGAGCAUCUCGAUGUUUAGAACGAGCCCGAGCCGAGCCGAGCCCGAUUUUCUGGCUCGAGAAAAGAGUGAGCCAGCUUGGCUUAUUGCGGCUUGCGAGCUGGCUCGUGGCUCGACCCAACAACAAUUUGUUACAUAAAAUUCUAAUUAGUAUAUAUUGUUGGUACUAAAUAGAUGAUUAGUUUAUGUUUCUUGAGAUAACUGUACAAAAUUAACCUAUUUUCUAUAUUAUAUUAGUAAUAUAUUUAUUUUACUAAUAAAAAAAAUAAGUUACUUAAAUUGUUUUUGAGAUUUUAUAUUAUAUUUUGGAGAGUGGCGAAAGGGCCUCUAGUUGAGUUGGUUAGGUGGUCUGAGUAGCACUCCUCAGGUCCUGGGUUCGACUCCCCGUGGGAGCAAAUUUCAGGCUGUGGUUAAAAAAAUCCCCUCGUAUGUCCCACGCCAAAGCACAGGUCUAAGGCUCAGCCCCGGUCGCAGUUGUUCUCACAUGGGCUUCGAUGCCGCUGUGUAUGGGUGGGGCAGGGGUUCGGGGGUUUUCUCGACCUGUGUGAGAAUGUCUUCUUCUUAAUACAAUGCCCGGGGGCUGUCUUACCCCCCGCAGGUCGAGUUUUUUUUUAUUUUGGAGAGUGAUUUCAUGUUUAUGCUCAGGCUCGUUGGCUCGGCGAGCCAACUUUUUAGGCUCGCCAGAAAAGCGAGCCGGGCUUGGCUCGUUACUUGAUUCAGAAGUUGGAUUCAACUCGAGGGCCCUGCAGUGCUGUUGGGGACCAAGGUUCCACAACAGCUCUCCAAGUAUUCCUGUCCUGUGCCCAUGUCUUAAGUUCAGGGUUCCACUGACUUCUACCUUUAGCGAAGAUGACUCCUAUGGCUUGCUCUGUCUUCCCUAUGGGAGCAGACCUACCCUGUCCUAUGGCUUGCUCUGCCUUCCCUGUGGUGACCUCUGCUGUUCUUGCUAGGAGGAGUCAAAACUCUGCUUGCAGUUGUAGAGAUGAGAAUUCAUGAGAUGCAGGCACAUUAUUGGCUGCUUGAGAUUCUGGGCUGAUGCACAUCAGCAGAGGCUGGGCUAGCCGCUGAGGUGGGUGCCACUAGUAGAUUCCCAUGGGUAGCUGGCUGCUGCGUGGGCCAGUUUUUAGCAGAGCUCCAAGAGCAACUUCCAGACUGAAUCACUGAAUUCAUGAGAAGCUGUGCCAAACAGUUUUUUUUUUACUGUGAAGUGAUUAUUUGCUGAUUUAUUGAAGUGAUUUUCUGAAAUGAACCAGGAGACUGGGAAAACAAUUCUUGUGAUUCACUCCGCACACAGAAUUAUUAGUAAAUCAUGGAGAAUCAAAUAAUCACUUUUCACAAGAGAAUCAGGUUCCACAGAAAAUCUGGAGCGGGAGGGGCUCUACCAAACUGGCCCUUAAAUCACUUUCAUCUUCUCCAUCUCCAACUCCAAAGUGCAUAAGGAUAAGAACGUUGUGACAGUGUUCAGCGCGCCUAACUACUGCUACCGAUGCGGAAACAUGGCUGCCAUCCUCGAAAUUGGCGAGAACAUGGAUCAGAACUUCCUCCAAUUCGACCCAGCUCCGAGGCAAAUUGAGCCGGACAUGACGCGCAAGACACCAGACUACUUUUUGUAGUAAGCAUGUUGGCUUCUUUUAACUUCUCUACCGCAGCGUCUGCCGUCUGCCUGUAGAUCUUCAAAAAUGUGUUCCCUCUAGCCGCUCUGUAGCACCUCUCAUUCUUUGGUGUUGAGAUUUUUUUCUCCUCUUGUACCCCCAUUCUGUAUGAUUCUGAGAUAGCAGAGAAGAGAAGCUGCAAUAGAAUUGUCCCAAAAUA